Long non-coding RNA from Otolemur garnettii (small-eared galago), 912 nucleotides. RefSeq lists it as uncharacterized. The transcript is spliced from 7 exons. NCBI's taxonomy places the organism in Eukaryota, Metazoa, Chordata, Mammalia, Primates, Galagidae. The record is from RefSeq and is a predicted model, not a curated record.
GGGGACGAUUUAAACUUAGAGGAUGCCCUCGGUGGAGGAGGAAACAAUGACCCAGUACCACCGAAACCCAAGCCAAAUCCGAACCCCAGCAAACCGGAUUCCUCUGGUGGCUUCUCAGAUUCUGAUCUUGCUGAUGGAAAUCAUGGUGGAGAAGGUGGUGGAAGCCCCAGGAGUGAUGAGGAACAACAGGCCGACUCCCCCGGCGUGAUCUCUGGAAUCGUGGGAGCCGUGGUGGUUGCCGUGGCUGGAGCCAUUUCCAGCUUCAUUGCUUACCAGAAAAAGAAGCUGUGCUUCAAAGAGAACAAUGUGGAGCAAGGUGACGUGGACCUGCAGAAUCAUCGGUACACCAAUGCAGAGCCGCCUGUUCAACAGACUCUUUUAGAGAAAUAGAAGAUGGUCUGAACAAGCAGCCGACUGGGAUCCUAACACCUGCUUCAGGCUCCUCCUAGAAAUACACCUGCCGCCAGAGGGGCGACACAGGAGGCCUUUCUGUAGAUUCUGUGUGUUAACCUUGAGACGCCUUUGCCAGCUGCCUCCAGGCAGACGAUGUUUACUAACGAUGACUUUUACAUCCAAGAGGGGCCUUGUACACAACACUCUCCAAGGCCCAUGGGGAGCUUCCUGUGUGAUGUGAAAAGCUGACCCUUAUCAAGUCCCCACAAUUUGAAUAUCAGCCUCCCCCGAGGUACCGCCACCUGGAAGUCUGGGCCCCUCAGAGAUUACGCGCACCUUGAAACUUCCAUGGUUUCAAGGAAACUGUUUUUUAAGGAAACAGUGUCAACUGUUUGUUUGUUUGUUUGUUUGUUGGUGUUAAAUAUUAGGCAAGCCUUCCAUCCAUUUUCCUAAACAUCUCUUUCAUUUGUGAGGAUUUUUUUUUCAUACCAGGCUAAUAAAAAAGAAUUUGGAAACCAA